UCUCCCCUUUUAGGAGCAGUCUCGCUAGACAUAGUAACUAACGACGAGGGUUGCGCUCGUUGCGGGACUUAACCCAACACCUCACGGCACGAGCUGACGACAGCCAUGCAACAUCUGUGCAUCUGUCCCGAAGGAAGACCCGCUUUCACGGGCUGUCAGACGCAUGUCAAGUCCAGGUGAGGUUCUUCGCUUAGCAUCGAAUUAAACCACACGCUCCGCUGCUUGUGCGGGGACCCGUCAAUUCCUUUGAGUUUUAGCCUUGCGGCCGUACUCCCCAGGCGGGGCGCUUAAUGCGUUAGCUGCGGCACGGAGGACGUGGAAUGUCCCCCACACCUAGCGCCCAACGUUUACGGCAUGGACUAC
Molecule: unclassified non-coding RNA, 363 nt
Filed under: uncultured Dehalococcoidia bacterium
Lineage: Bacteria; Bacillati; Chloroflexota; Dehalococcoidia
Description: contains 16S-23S intergenic spacer region
Source: RNAcentral